AGCGGGGAAACAGCCGGGUGAGAGCAGGCAGAGGCACUCUGGGGCCUCUGGGGGAUCCUGUCUCUGCCCGCAGACACACCAUCCCUGCCUUGACCUCUUUCAGCCCAAGAGCCGGAUUGGUUUUUACAUUUUUAAAUAGUUGAACGGGAAGAACAUUUUGUGACUGUGAAGAUAAGAAAUUCAAAUCUCAGUGCCGGUAAGUCUGUUUUGUCACAAUACAUAUGUUCACCAGCUUGUUGUGGGGCAGUGAGAUGCCUGAAAUCGGUAGGAAAUGAAACACCAGCUCGGCUCUGGGUGAAGAGCGGGUGCCCACAGGCCCUUGGGCUGGGAGGGUCCUUGAAACCCUCUGGUCCAGCCUUAGUGCUGCCUGGCGCUCCUGUGUGCUGACCAGGUACAUGCAGGCAGAGGCAUCAGGAUCCGCACACACAGGCAAGUCCGAGCCCUGCCCCCCAUGUCUCCAAGCCAGGAACAGCCCACCCCCACCCUCUGGGAUGCUGGGCCUGGGUCGGGGUCACCCGGCUGAGUGCUGAGGGCUGGGGGACGUAGGGUCCUGCUCUCUGUCCACCUGCUCAGGCUGUCUUCCCACUCCCACUGCCUCCUGCACCUGUACUUGGGCACCGCGCCUGCUGUCGACCCCACAGGGGCUCUCUGCAUUCUCGCCCAGCUGUGCGGAGGCGGUUGCUCAGGCCCUGAGGUGUCCUUUUGCACCUGAGCUGAGGGGAGUGUUUCUGCCUCCAUCUCUCUCAUCCCACAUCCAUCCAUGAGAAACCCUCUAGCUACCUGCACUGCUCCCAAGCCUUAGGGGGCCUCCUCUGUGGAAAAGGGUCAAAGGCUAGGCCUGACUGCCCACCUGCAUCUGGGAGCUUGGAUUUGGGGAGGUCCCUGGCCUGAGCUGGUUGCAUAAGCAAGGGGGUCCCUGCUGACACCUGUCUUCUUCUGGGGUCUGGAAUCUCAGUGCGUGCCAGGCCAAGGUACCUACCCGGCCAGCCCCCAGUAAACUCCUAACAAGCUCUGCAGUGGAUGGCACCUCCUAUGUGUCAUCACAGUCGGUGCUGGCUCCACUGGGACAGGACCCCAGACUCAUGCUCUGUCUCCCUGAGACCCUCUGCCCCACAAGACUUUUCCCUUGGCAGAUUCUGCCCGUAUCCUGCUGGAAGAAAUCUCAGCAGUGAAUCAUUCCAGGGAAUUGCCAAACUUGGGUGGUCAUAGGGGGCCUGCUCUGCCCAUCUCCCUGUCCCUCCAUCUGGCCAGCUGUGUGGGCCAAGAAAGCCAGAGUGGCCCCAGUAACCCAAGCUGAUCUGCUGCCAUCCUGCUCGGCGCCUCCAGGGCUUGGCCUGCUCUUCCAGCGCUCCUCUCCUCCUCCCCCUACACCCUCCCUCACAUGCAUGGCCCACUCUCUCCCUGCUGAGCCCAGCCCUGCCUCACCCACCGCUGGCCCUUCAUUUGCAGGGUUCCUGCCUGAUGCUCUCUCCAGACCCUCCGCCUGCUCGCUGUGUCAGGCCUCUGCUCAGAGGUCAGAGGUUAAGGAGCCAGCCCCUCCCCCUUAGGCCUGACCCACCCACACUUAGACUUUCCCAGGGCCGAGCGCAGGCUCUCAGCAACACACACACACACGACCGAAGCCUGCGCACGGGCGCAGAAGGGCAGUGUGCUGGGAGAUGUGACGACCACGCUUUCAGACAGCCCUGCAGGCUCGUGAUGGGUCAGGCUGUCUGGCUCAUGGAACAUGCUUCCUGGCACCUCUGACUGAAGACCCAGGACUGUCCUGAGGGCCCCAGCAAGCCACCACUUGGCAGAGCUGUACUUGUGUGCAGGCUGGGGGACCACCCUUCCUUGACUUGGAAGGCUGUUGUGCCAAGGGUGGAGGAGCAGGGAUGGGGACCGGGAGGGGAGCCCAGCUGCCCCCCAGGGAGGAGAGGCAGUGCAGGCCUAGGCCAGCUGGGCCAGCUACGUCCAAGUCCCUCUGGAUAAAAGAAGUCCCUGUAAACCAAGGACUCCCCAAACCGGGAAGGUCGUCUCACACUCACUGGCUCAAGAAACGAGAAGUUUAAUUUUCCAUAAAUUUGCAUAAGCAUGUUCACAGCCAGUGGCUGCCAAGGUGGCCCAGUGGCCCUUGGGUAUUCUGACCCUGACCUUUGGGUGGUGCCGUCCCCUGGCCUGCUGAUGGGACCUCACCACAGUGUGAAGAAGCCUGGACAGGUGCUUUCCAGGGAAGGAGACUGCUCUCCGUCUGGAGGGUGUCUGGCCUUCUGAUCAGUGGCCAUGCCGUGAGGACUCCUGCUGGCUUGCAGAGGGUCCAUGUGCUGAGGAGCCUGGCGACAGCCACCCAAAUGGUGGCCUGGAAUCAGACUGCCCGGACAACCUUCAGGGAAGACCACCGCUGCCUCCACCAGGCUCUCACUGGGUCUCCUUUGCCUUCUGGUGCUCCCAGGUUGCACACAACACCAGCCUUAGCUGGGCCACCUCCCCCUCCAUCUGUCCCCUCCUGCUGCCCUGGACUGGGCAAAAACCGAGGGGAUGGGGUUGGUGGCCACCUAAGUGAGACAACCCAGGACCUGGGACCCUGUGCUGCAGCGCUUGCACCUGGAUAAAUGCCUCUUUGAGCAACAAAAUACGAAUAAACUAUAUGAAACUAAA
Non-coding RNA from Sus scrofa (pig), 2637 nucleotides. Lineage: Eukaryota; Metazoa; Chordata; Mammalia; Artiodactyla; Suidae. The record is from RefSeq and is a predicted model, not a curated record.